GACGGAAGGUGCAAGCGUUGCUCGGAAUCACUGGGCGUAAAGGGUGCGUAGGCGGCUGUGCAAGUCUGGCGUGAAAGCCCCGGGCUCAGCCCGGGAAGUGCGCUCGAAACUGCACGGCUCGAGUGCCGGAGGGGAGAGUGGAAUUCCUGGUGUAGCGGUGAAAUGCGUAGAUAUCAGGAGGAAUACCGGUGGCGAAAGCGACUCUCCGGACGGCAACUGACGCUGAGGCACGAAAGCGUGGGGAGCAAACAGG
This 253-nucleotide ribosomal RNA is filed under the name uncultured bacterium. RNAcentral's name for it is "partial 16S ribosomal RNA". It matches the Rfam family "Bacterial small subunit ribosomal RNA", at positions 524 to 776 of the family's 1533-position model. The record is from RNAcentral.